CAGGCGCUGGGUGAAAGAGAACAGCGCAGCCGGCAGUGGAUUACCUCCCUCGCCGAAGACGAUAGAGUGAACACUGCACCUCCUCCCCUUCCCGGUGCGACGGGAUCCGGACGCCUCCUUCACCAGCUGUGAGGGGGGAGAGAGAGACAGAGGCCAACGCAGUUUUGUUUAGAUCUAGUGAAGAGGGUGAGAGACUAUGAAUAUAGCAAACCCUAGCAAAGGAACUGAGCCUCCAGCGUGUAUAUAUAUUAUGAUAACACCCUUAAGAGUCUUAUUCUACAAACAAAUCUCUUAUUCUGCUAACACUUCAUCACUGUCCGGCGUACAGAAAAACAAAAACGAACUUCCCCCACCCCUAUCCAACCUUCUUCUCUCUCCUCCCAACUCCCGCACCACCCCGAUCCCCAGUUCCCUCACCUUCUUCUCUCUCCCACUCACGCCUCGCACCGCAUCGCACCGACCCCCUAAUCCUCCUCACCCUCUUUCACCGUCGAUGCCAGCCGCCAGCUCUGUGCAGACCGGCCACCCGCCACCGACCGGCCUCCCCCUCGCGCACCUACCCCCCCUAACAUCCCGCAGCGCCCCGCCCCACCGCGCCCCGACUCCCUCCCUGACCCGCCGUCGCCCUCGACGCCAGCCAGCAUGGCCGCCUCCUUCCCCCACCGCCCCAGCCCCGGAUCCGGCGAGGAUCCACCAGGUGGUGCCUCACCUUCACCGUCGGGAUGUCUCUGGAUCUUACGGGAGGGGAUCCGCGCGCGCCCAUCCUCUUACCCCCCCAUUCUCCCGCUUUGAUUCCGGCGUGGAUCCGUGACUUCUCCGCCCCCCAGGUGGACUCAAGGUCGAGCCCCGUCCUGCGACGCCCCGCUGCCGUGGCGAGACCCAUCCGGCCGCCGCAACGCUGCCCCACCUCCUCCCCUUCUUCGCCCAGAUCCAAAAGGGCACAUGGUGCAGCCCCCGUCUCCUCUGCCCUGGAUCCAUGGAGCCCGUUGUGUCACGAGAGGCCCCCUCUCCUCUGUCGCAAGCUCGGGCCAACCAUUACUCAGCCACACGCCGGUGCCUUCCUCCUCCAAGGACCCGAUGCCGGCGCCAGGAGGCACCGGCGCGCGAGGGGCAGUAGUGUGCCUGUGCUCAACCUCCACAAAAACGCAAGAUACCAGCGAUCCCAGGAGCGCGCGAUGAUGUUCAACGGCGGCUAGGACGCCCAUGCAGUUCAGAAAGGGAUAAGUUGUUUUUUUGUUGGAUUUUGGAUGGAGAUCUGAUGCCUCGUGCGGUCCAACUGUAGUGCGCAUCGCCGGUGAGGCUGCAGCUCGUGCAGUGCAGAUCAGUGCGGCGUGCGGUUUCCGUGUGCAGUGCGUUUUGCUUUUUUGCUUUUCCUUUUGGAUUUUGGAUGUGCAGAACAGUUGCAGCUCAUUUUGAUUUUUUUGAAGCUCACUAAUUUUGUUUUGCAGUUCACCCAUCCUCCUACCCGCCUCUCCUAGCCGCCAGUGUGUGGGACGACGCUGGAUGGGGGCCGGCGCAUCCGUGCGGGCGUGCAGUUUGCCGGCGUGGCACGUGUGGUACACUGGUUCCGGUUAUGCUGUUCACCGGCGUACUCCCCUAUCCAACAGAGAGUGACAGUUCCGUUUCGCGAUGAUGUCUUUGUUUGCAGUUCUCUAGAUGUGUGUUGCAGUGCACUGAAUAAAAGGUUUUGUAUGGACAUGUUUGCUACAGUUUGUCACUCGGACGGGGAUCUCACAUGCAGUACACUUGGGUGGCGUUGGGAUUCCAGGAUUUGCAGAAAAAUGUGGUUCGAGUGGGCGGGCGGGCGUGCAGCUCACUAGGCUCUACCUCGCAGCUCGUUUGGCUCUGGCUGGGUCAAUGGAACUGGACCCAGAACCUAGGAAUUUGAUUCCAUUUUUGUUUGAGGAGUUUUUAUGUAAACUUGGACAAUAAAUUUGUGUAACUAUAAAAAAGAACAUUGCAGUUCUCUCGA
Molecule: non-coding RNA, 1972 nt
Organism: Aegilops tauschii subsp. strangulata
Lineage: Eukaryota; Viridiplantae; Streptophyta; Magnoliopsida; Poales; Poaceae
Source: RefSeq, a predicted model, not a curated record